RNAcentral lists this ribosomal RNA (440 nucleotides) under uncultured bacterium. RNAcentral describes it as "partial 16S ribosomal RNA". It matches the Rfam family "Bacterial small subunit ribosomal RNA", at positions 338 to 795 of the family's 1533-position model. The record is from RNAcentral.
CCUACGGGUGGCAGCAGUGGGGAAUAUUGCACAAUGGGGGAAACCCUGAUGCAGCGACGCCGCGUGAGUGAAGAAGUAAUUCGUUAUGUAAAGCUCUAUUAGCAGGGAAGAAAAUGACGGUACCUGAGUAAGAAGCCCCGGCUAACUACGUGCCAGCAGCGGUGGUAAUACGGAGGGGGCAAGCGUUAUCCGGAUUUACUGGGUGUAAGGGGCGCGUAGACGGCAGUGAAGGUCUGGAGUGAAAGGCGGGGGCUCAACCCCCGGACUGCUCUGGAAACUGUACGGCUUGAGUGCAGGAGAGGUAAGUGGAAUUCCUAGUGUAGCGGUGAAAUGCGUAGAUAUUAGGCAGAACACCAGUGGCGAAGGCAGCUUACUGGGCUGUAACUGACGUUGAGGCUCGAAAGCGUGGGGAGCAAACAGGAUUAGAUACCCGAGUAGUC